This 84-nucleotide transfer RNA is filed under the name Planctomycetia bacterium. Its description in RNAcentral is "tRNA-Leu". It matches the Rfam family "tRNA". From Rfam's summary of the family: Transfer RNA (tRNA) molecules are approximately 80 nucleotides in length. Their secondary structure includes four short double-helical elements and three loops (D, anti-codon, and T loops). The record is from RNAcentral. RNAcentral also lists the same sequence under 1 other name. Lineage: Bacteria; Pseudomonadati; Planctomycetota; Planctomycetia.
GCCGAAGUGGCGGAAUUGGCAGACGCGCUAGAUUCAGGUUCUAGUCUGGGAAACCAGGUGCAGGUUCAACUCCUGUCUUCGGCA